GUGGUGGAAUAGCUCAGUGGGUAAGCAUGAGGCUCUAAAUCUCAAGGUCGUGGCUUUGAGUUCCAUAAGAUCCCUCCACA
This is a non-coding RNA of Podarcis lilfordi (Lilford's wall lizard), 80 nucleotides long. The record is from the annotation of a GenBank genome assembly. Lineage: Eukaryota; Metazoa; Chordata; Lepidosauria; Squamata; Lacertidae.